GAUGAACGCUGGCGGUAUGCUUAACACAUGCAAGUCGAACGGACUCUUCGGAGUUAUUGGCGGACGGGGGAGUAACGCGUGGGAAUCUGGCCUUGUGUUCGGGACACCUACUGGACACGGUGGCUAAUACCGGAUGUGCCCAGAUGCAAAAGAGAACGUGCCUGAAGAUGAGCUCGCGUCUAAUUAGGUAGUUGGUGAGGUAAAUGCUCACCAAGGCAGCGAUCAGUAGCUGGUCUGAGAGGAUGACCAGCCACACUGGGUCUGAGACACGGCCCAGACUCCUACGGGGGGAAGGAGUGGGGAAUGUCCCGGAAUGGGCGAGAGAGUGACGGAGGAAUACCGCGUGAGGGAAGAAGGCUCUUGGGUUGUAAAACUGUUUUCUUAGGGAAGAACAAAAUGACGGUACCUAAGGAAUCAGCAUCGGCUAACUACGUG
RNAcentral lists this ribosomal RNA (435 nucleotides) under uncultured bacterium. RNAcentral describes it as "partial 16S ribosomal RNA". It matches the Rfam family "Bacterial small subunit ribosomal RNA", at positions 28 to 507 of the family's 1533-position model. The record is from RNAcentral.